UGACCAGCUGACGCGAUCGCACGCGUGAAUGCGCCCCUGCCAGGAUGUGCUGACCGUCCAGUUUCCCAGGGAUGUGCUGAGGAGUGUGUUGACCGACCUCCCACAGAAUGACAGCACUACCCUGGACAUACUGAAGAGUGUGCUGACCCUGCUGGAAGCAUCCAAGCGGAUCUGGGAUGAGCUCAGCAGUGUUCUACAGGACCAACAGCUGUGUGAGAUAUUGAGCAUCAGCACAGAGGAGUUGGGCCUCCUUCGCUUGACUGCGAUGCCUCCCACUGAAGAGCUGGUGAAGGAGCUGUGUAAGCCAGCACUGCUCCAGAAGCUUCUGAAUGUGGAAAGCCUGCCAGUGCUCUGGCUGGUGCUCAGACGUCUCGUGCUGCUGUCGGAUAGACCUGAGACGGCAAUUGAAAUCCGGGCCCUGCUUCCAGGCGUCAUGGAGAACCUGCUGUUUGCCAACACAGCCAUUACUGUGAAGGUGCUGAAUAUCUUCAGGAAUGCAAUGCACCAUCUGGGGAAGAGGCACGCCAGUCCGUUUGCUCUGGAGCUGGCUGAGAAGAUCCUGCCUCUUUUUAAUCACGUAAGUCUGUUGUGGGAGGCUGAGCUCUGCGGGUGGGUGCUUGACAGGAGCGUCUUCUCCUUUCUUUCCUUCUCUGGGCUCUCAGGAAUGAGAUGUCCUGUGGGCUCUGUAGCACUGCUGGCCGUGUCCCUGCUAGUGCAGCUUGGUUGUUCUUGGUGA
This 736-nucleotide long non-coding RNA is filed under the name Coturnix japonica (Japanese quail). RNAcentral's name for it is "lncRNA (ENSCJPG00005006007.1)". Lineage: Eukaryota; Metazoa; Chordata; Aves; Galliformes; Phasianidae. The record is from RNAcentral.